GAAAAAAAAAACAGAAAACCAUGAAAAAUAUUUUAAAAAAUUAUUAAGCCAGACAAAAUCAACACUGACUUCUGUAAAAAUCUAAAAGUAAGGAGAAAGUGAGAUAUGAACACACUUCACAAGUGGGUGUUAACUGAUGGUCACAGUGAGGUAGCUGCCAGGCAGGCAGGCAGGUAGGAGCCAUGGAGAGGAGGAAGGCGAGCUCCUCACAAUCCACGCUUACAGAAAACUGCUCCUGGCAGGCUGGGUGCAAGGACUGCAAAGUGUCGACACGGCACGUUAUAAUCCUGUGGUUCAGAGCUGGUAAGUGGAUGGUAUUUCCAUAUGCAGAUGAGUAGUUCCAUGUGGAGAUGUUUGCUGACUUUUUCCCCAAUAAGAAGACAAAGUACAGAGCGUGGGGAUGAAACACAAGCAGGCUUCAAUUACCAAUGUUACCAAUGGCCCACGGCGGUUACGUAUUUUUCUGUAUUCUACCAAAAAUGCUUACUUAAUAAAUAGCAAAUAAUAAAUUUAUUUGACAACUGAUCUUUACUUUCGAUUUUCUGGUAUUUAACCAAGGGAAGUGAGCACUUUAAGCCUUGAGUUUUAGCUCCUGCACUCAGGAGACCCAGAUAACUAUAUUCUGGAAGGCUUUUCUUCCUUCUAGUUUCCCUUUUUGCCCACUGCAUUCUCUGAAAACUACUAUAAAAGAUGCCAUUUUAUUGCCUUUAUUAUUAUAGACGGGCCCACCAGCUUCGGCCCAACGAUUCUCGUAUGCUGGUUGCCUUAGGAGAAUGUUAUGAGAAACUCAAUCAACUAGUGGAAGCCAAAAAGUGUUAUUGGAGAGCAUACGCUGUCCAAGAAUGCUAAGAAUGAAGGUUACACUGAGAAGGUGCCUUCCUGAUGCCCAGGCUGGCCCUGGACUCACUGUCACCCUCAGGGUCAGUCUCUUGGAGUCUGUGGAUAAGAGACUGUCUAUUUCCCCUUUUAUUAUAUAAAAUAUUGAUGAACAUGUAGUCUUGAGAUUAUUAAUGUAUUAGAUUGUUAGACAGGACCUUAUAUAACACACUGGGGACAAAUGACUAUACAGCUGAGGAGGACCUUCAGUUUUUGUUUUACUUGUAUGAGUGCUUUGCCUGUGUGUGUGCACUCCGUGUGGGUGCCUGGUGCUCACUGAGGUCAAAAGAGGGCAUUCGACCCCCUGAAACUGGAGUUACAGAUGAUUGUAAAUUUCCAUGUGGGAGUUGAAUAAAACUCAAGAUUCUCUGAAGAGCAGCGAAUGUUCCUAACUGUUGAGCCAUCUCCCUAGCUGUGAAUUUGAAUUUCUGAUACCCUUGCCUCAAAUUCCUGAAUGCUAAGAUUCCAUGUGGGGAGGAGAAGGCACAAGGAUGUGAAGUCCAGAGUAAUUGUGUGUUGUUAAUAUGGGCAAGCCUAUGUCAAGGACCCCACAGACUCAGACGCAUGGGAAAUGGCACAGCCUUUUCUCCUGGUCUGAGUGUGAAUUCUGAUGGUGUGUACAGAUAAUGGCCACCACAGCUUUCUCCCUCUGGCCUGAUGUUUAUGCCUUGAAGGCAGCUCUCCUGUAGAGGCUGUCCCUACUGAAAUGAGCUAAACCUGACUCCUUGUCUGUCUGUUAGCAAUAACUUCACCUCCUUGUUUAACACUGUACAAUAAACACGCUGAGCACCCAGGGUGCUGUGUUUGUGUGUCCGUGUGUUUGUCUUUUCCUCAUUUCCCCACUGUCUCAGCCACACCCAUCUCUGGAGCUAUGCUGGACAUAGCCAUUACAGGCAUGUAUCAUGUAUGCAGUUGAUGAGGUGCUCUGGGGUUAACUCAGAGCUAUGCGCAUGACACAGCAUGAAUGUGGAAGUCAAGGGACAAGUUAGUUUUCCCCUACAAUUAGGUGUAUUCCUGAGACUUAAACGAUUUAAACCUAAGUGUAUUUGAUAAAGGAGCAUGGAGUUCACAAACACAGUAGCUUCCAUGACGAUAGCUAUUGGCAUCUGUACUACACAGAAUGAGAUUCAUAUUAUCUUGAAGGAUAUUUUUGUUGUAAAAACUAUCUGGUAUGAUUCCUGCAUUGUACAGAAACUGCAAACAGAUAGUAUAAUGUUUCUACCAAUUAAAAAUACAGUUGUCUAAGUGGAAUUCAGAUUCAAACUCCUGUGGGAUUAAAAUAAGUAUCUGUUGGUACACAAUAAUUUUUUUCUUCUAUUAACCUUAAUUAACGAGUUGUUAUGGUAAAGCAGGCCUGUGAUCCCAAUAUUUGGGCGGAUCAGGUCCUCUUAAGCUGUAUAGCAAGUCUGACAUCAGUCAGGGCACAUGAGAUUCUGUGUCAAAGACAAACAAAUCCCCACAAAACAAACAAAGCAAAGCAGCAGCAGCAAUGACGACGGUGACACUCAGUAACCGUUACAUACUUAGGUCAAAAGCUGCUUAAGACACAUUACAUUUUAUAAAUGAUUACAAAUUCAGUUACCUUGAAUUCUUCAUAGGUGACCUGAGUACCUUUGAAGGUCAAGUCCCCAAAUCUAAAAGCUGCACUGCCGAGUU
Molecule: small RNA, 2532 nt
Filed under: Rattus norvegicus (Norway rat)
Lineage: Eukaryota; Metazoa; Chordata; Mammalia; Rodentia; Muridae
Description: uncharacterized LOC102549857
Source: RNAcentral